RNAcentral lists this ribosomal RNA (467 nucleotides) under uncultured bacterium. RNAcentral describes it as "partial 16S ribosomal RNA". It matches the Rfam family "Bacterial small subunit ribosomal RNA", at positions 28 to 507 of the family's 1533-position model. The record is from RNAcentral.
GAUGAACGCUGGCGGCGUGCUUAACACAUGCAAGUCGAACGGAAAGGCCCAAGCUUGCUUGGGUACUCGAGUGGCGAACGGGUGAGUAACACGUGGGUGAUCUGCCCUGCACUUCGGGAUAAGCCUGGGAAACUGGGUCUAAUACCGGAUAGGACCACUUCUUGGGUGUUGUGGUGGAAAGUUUUUUCGGUGUGGGAUGAGCUCGCGGCCUAUCAGCUUGUUGGUGGGGUAAUGGCCUACCAAGGCGUCGACGGGUAGCCGGCCUGAGAGGGUGUACGGCCACAUUGGGACUGAGAUACGGCCCAGACUCCUACGGGAGGCAGCAGUGGGGAAUAUUGCACAAUGGGCGCAAGCCUGAUGCAGCGACGCCGCGUGGGGGAUGACGGCCUUCGGGUUGUAAACUCCUUUCGCUAGGGACGAAGCGUUUUGUGACGGUACCUGGAGAAGAAGCACCGGCUAACUACGUG